AAAUUCUGGAAUGCAAAUACUACCGUGCCACCUAAAUGCGGUCACUGGUCGAUGACCUCGCACGUUUUUUGUGCUUCAAGUUGGGAUUUACACAAUUCUGCAAUGUUUUGUAAUUUGGAAUAAAAAUACGAAAAGGUUGCUGCAGGCCAUUAGCAUUGACCGUGCAUAUAUGCAGAUAUUUAUUCAUGGUGGAUUAUAGUUAAAUUUAUUUAUCUUCCUGAACUCUAAGCAUGGAUAACAACUACCUGAAUUGAUUGUGGAUAACCUUCAACAGCUAUACCACUCAAACAGUUUAAAUGAUAUUCUGGAUAAUAUAUACAGUUAAAAAUAAGUAGAAACAGUGCUAUACAGACAGUAUUGUGAGGAAUGUGAUUUUUAUAAUGCAUUUUGGUUUUUCGAUUUUUUUUAUUUUUUUUUAUUAUUGUUAUAAUAAAUAAAUUUUAGUCUUAA
Molecule: long non-coding RNA, 450 nt
Organism: Mytilus californianus (California mussel)
Lineage: Eukaryota; Metazoa; Mollusca; Bivalvia; Mytilida; Mytilidae
Exons: 3
Source: RefSeq, a predicted model, not a curated record